This 440-nucleotide ribosomal RNA is filed under the name uncultured bacterium. RNAcentral's name for it is "partial 16S ribosomal RNA". It matches the Rfam family "Bacterial small subunit ribosomal RNA", at positions 338 to 795 of the family's 1533-position model. The record is from RNAcentral.
CCUACGGGGGGCUGCAGUGGGGAAUAUUGCACAAUGGGGGAAACCCUGAUGCAGCGACGCCGCGUGAGCGAAGAAGUAUUUCGGUAUGUAAAGCUCUAUCAGCAGGGAAGAAAAUGACGGUACCUGAGUAAGAAGCUCCGGCUAAAUACGUGCCAGCAGCCGCGGUAAUACGUAUGGAGCAAGCGUUAUCCGGAUUUACUGGGUGUAAAGGGAGCGUAGACGGGUAUGUAAGUCUGGAGUGAAAGCCCGGGGCCCAACCCCGGGACUGCAUUGGAAACUGUUGAACUGGAGUACAGGAGAGGUAAGCGGAAUUCCUAGUGUAGCGGUGAAAUGCGUAGAUAUUAGGAGGAACACCAGUGGCGAAGGCGGCUUACUGGACUGUAACUGACGUUGAGGCUCGAAAGCGUGGGGAGCAAACAGGAUUAGAUACCCCAGUAGUC